GGAUACCCGAGGGAAACUUCGGUUAAUACGGUAUAAGACCACACUACCGCAUGGUAGAGGGGUAAAAGGGGCAACCUGGUAUGAGAUGGACUCGCGUCGCAUUAGCUAGUUGGUGAGGUAACGGCCCACCAAGGCGACGAUGCGUAGCCGACCUGAGAGGGUGAUCGGCCACAUUGGGACUGAGAUACGGCCCAGACUCCUACGGGAGGCAGCAGUGGGGAAUAUUGGGCAAUGGAGGAAACUCUGACCCAGCAAUGCCGCGUGAAUGAAGAAGGUCUUCGGAUUGUAAAGUUCUUUAGUCAGGGAAGAAGUCAAUGACGGUACCUGAAGAAUAAGCUCCGGCUAACUACGUGCCAGCAGCCGCGGUAAUACGUAGGGAGCAAGCGUUGUUCGGAAUGACUGGGCGUAAAGGGUGCGUAGGCGGUUGUACAAGUUAGAAGUGAAAUACCCAGGGCUUAACUCGGGUGCUGCUUCUAAAACUGUACGACUUGAGUGCAGUAGAGGUUAGUGGAAUUCCUAGUGUAGCGGUGGAAUGCGUAGAUAUUAGGAGGAACACCAGAGGCGAAGGCGGCUAACUGGACUGCAACUGACGCUGAGGCACGAAAGUGUGGGGAGCAAACAGGAUUAGAUACCCUGGUAGUCCACACUGUAAACGAUGGAUACUAGAUGUAGGAGGUAUCGACUCCUUCUGCGUCGCA
Molecule: ribosomal RNA, 698 nt
Filed under: uncultured bacterium
Lineage: Bacteria
Description: bacterial SSU rRNA
Rfam family: Bacterial small subunit ribosomal RNA
Source: RNAcentral